UAGCAUAUCAAUAAGCGGAAGGAAAAGAAACCAACAGGGAUUGCCCCAGUAACGGCGAGUGAAGCGGCAACAGCUCAAAUUUGAAAUCUGGCUUCGGCCCGAGUUGUAAUUUGUAGAGGAUGCUUUGGGCGCGGCUCUGACUGAGUUCCCUGGAACGGGACGCCACAGAGGGUGAGAGCCCCGUAUAGUUAGAUGCCUAGCCUAUGUAAAGCUCCUUCGACGAGUCGAGUAGUUUGGGAAUGCUGCUCUAAAUGGGAGGUAAAUUUCUUCUAAAGCUAAAUAUUGGCCAGAGACCGAUAGCGCACAAGUAGAGUGAUCGAAAGAUGAAAAGCACUUUGAAAAGAGGGUUAAAUAGCACGUGAAAUUGUUGAAAGGGAAGCGCUUGUGACCAGACUUGCGCCGGGCAGAUCAUCCGGUGUUCUCACCGGUGCACUCUGCCCGGCUCAGGCCAGCAUCGGUUCUCGUGGGGGGAUAAAGGUCCCGGGAACGUAGCUCCUCCGGGAGUGUUAUAGCCCGGGGCGUAAUGCCCUCGUGGGGACCGAGGUUCGCGCAUCUGCAAGGAUGCUGGCGUAAUGGUCAUCAGCGACCCGUCUUGAAACACGGACCAAGGAGUCAAGGUUUUGCGCGAGUGUUUGGGUGUAAAACCCGCACGCGUAAUGAAAGUGAACGUAGGUGAGAGCUUCGGCGCAUCAUCGACCGAUCCUGAUGUAUUCGGAUGGAUUUGAGUAAGAGCGUUAAGCCUUGGACCCGAAAGAUGGUGAACUAUGCUUGGAUAGGGUGAAGCCAGAGGAAACUCUGGUGGAGGCUCGCAGCGGUUCUGACGUGCAAAUCGAUCGUCAAAUCUGAGCAUGGGGGCGAAAGACUAAUCGAACCAUCUAGUAGCUGGUUACCGCCGAU
RNAcentral lists this ribosomal RNA (897 nucleotides) under Trichocladium antarcticum. Its description in RNAcentral is "LSU rRNA". It matches the Rfam family "Eukaryotic large subunit ribosomal RNA", at positions 36 to 965 of the family's 3401-position model. The record is from RNAcentral. Lineage: Eukaryota; Fungi; Ascomycota; Sordariomycetes; Sordariales; Chaetomiaceae.